Molecule: long non-coding RNA, 1038 nt
Organism: Bos indicus x Bos taurus (hybrid cattle)
Lineage: Eukaryota; Metazoa; Chordata; Mammalia; Artiodactyla; Bovidae
Source: Ensembl
CUGAAGGCUUCUCAAAAAGGCAAGCAGCUGCUUUUCUCUCACCUUCUCUCUCUAUCUCUGUUUAAAAUGGCUACUGGAGUCCUGCAAACACUGAGGAAGUGCACUUCCAGGAGCAACGAGGUUGACAGGGUGGCCGGGGCCCUGCCGGGCACUGAGAGCCGCGCACACGGACUCGUUUCGUCACUCGGCCACCCAGGGAGUUAGGCAGCCGUGUGUGCCCGAUUUACAGGCUCUUGGCUCCAGCCUGAACCCACUCGGCACUGUCUCCCUCUGCCAUGGAGAGCAGCCUCUGCUACAAAAAGGAAAGUCAAGACAUAAAAACAGACGAGAGGAAGAGUGCCCCACAAGGGUGCCUGUGUCCUCUCGUCAUCAAGCCACCAUGGUCCUCGCCAGCCCAACAGCUGGGGGCAUCUUCUCAGGGGCGAUUUAUCCUCCUCACUGGCGGCCGCGGGCUCCACAUGCCUCAAGGAUUACACGCUGAGUGAACUCUGUCGGCAGCGAGUCAACGGGAGGCAGGACAACGCGUUCCAUUGUUCCCACCCGCCUUCCCAGGGCCCUGAUUGGCAAGAAAAUGUCUCCGAGAGAUGGAUUGAAAGAAAACAUUCCCCAGGCCGAGGUCUCCCUGCCAGACUGAUUAGCUACCAGCACUCAGAUGGCUCUUUGCAAGACUGGAGGACUCGAGUCUUUUCUGUUACCAAAAAGGCUCUCUUCUCCUUUGUCGAUCCCUAUUACCUGGGAAAUUAACUUCAAAAUGAGGGGGUCCCCGGGGACCACCCACCCGGACUUCCCAGGGCAGGCCAAACUGCAAAUACUCCACCUAUCACUAUUUAUUAGCGUAACUGUUACAGUUUAUUGAGCAUUUACUAGUGUCAAACAUGGUACUGAGCUGCGUAACUGUCUCGACAGUAGAGGUAUCAGACAGCAUCAGGCACGCAGUAUUCGUCUGCACGUAAUGAGGCCUGCCUCCUCCUCAGUCCUGUCCACACAGCCUGGCUGGCUUACGGCGGCCCUGGCUCUCCCUCAGCAGGCGGCAUAGUG